GGUGUUGUGGCUCAGUGGUAGAUCACUCACCUAGCAUGUGUGAGGCCCUGAGUUCAAUCCUCAGCACCACAU
Molecule: transfer RNA, 72 nt
Filed under: Marmota marmota marmota (Alpine marmot)
Lineage: Eukaryota; Metazoa; Chordata; Mammalia; Rodentia; Sciuridae
Also listed under: 1 other name
Rfam family: tRNA
About the family: Transfer RNA (tRNA) molecules are approximately 80 nucleotides in length. Their secondary structure includes four short double-helical elements and three loops (D, anti-codon, and T loops).
Source: Rfam by way of RNAcentral